Molecule: transfer RNA, 69 nt
Filed under: Marmota monax (woodchuck)
Lineage: Eukaryota; Metazoa; Chordata; Mammalia; Rodentia; Sciuridae
Description: tRNA.Ala
Source: RNAcentral
GGAGUUGUAGCUCCAUGGUAGAGUGCUUGCCUAGCAUGUGUGAGGCACUGUGUUCGAUCCUCAACACCA